Molecule: transfer RNA, 58 nt
Filed under: Trichuris trichiura (human whipworm)
Lineage: Eukaryota; Metazoa; Nematoda; Enoplea; Trichinellida; Trichuridae
Description: tRNA-Thr
Source: RNAcentral
UGCUUAUUAGUUUAUAAAUAAAAUACAGAUUUUGUAAAUCUGAGAUUAAAAGGCAAGU